AUACCGCAUAAGAGUAGAUGUUGCAUGACAUUUGCUUAAAAGGUGCAAUUGCAUCACUACCAGAUGGACCUGCGUUGUAUUAGCUAGUUGGUGGGGUAACGGCUCACCAAGGCGACGAUACAUAGCCGACCUGAGAGGGUGAUCGGCCACACUGGGACUGAGACACGGCCCAGACUCCUACGGGAGGCAGCAGUAGGGAAUCUUCGGCAAUGGACGGAAGUCUGACCGAGCAACGCCGCGUGAGUGAAGAAGGUUUUCGGAUCGUAAAGCUCUGUUGUAAGAGAAGAACGAGUGUGAGAGUGGAAAGUUCACACUGUGACGGUAUCUUACCAGAAAGGGACGGCUAACUACGUGCCAGCAGCCGCGGUAAUACGUAGGUCCCGAGCGUUGUCCGGAUUUAUUGGGCGUAAAGCGAGCGCAGGCGGUUAGAUAAGUCUGAAGUUAAAGGCUGUGGCUUAACCAUAGUACGCUUUGGAAACUGUUUAACUUGAGUGCAAGAGGGGAGAGUGGAAUUCCAUGUGUAGCGGUGAAAUGCGUAGAUAUAUGGAGGAACACCGGUGGCGAAAGC
This 568-nucleotide ribosomal RNA is filed under the name uncultured Bacilli bacterium. RNAcentral describes it as "bacterial SSU rRNA". It matches the Rfam family "Bacterial small subunit ribosomal RNA", at positions 166 to 722 of the family's 1533-position model. Lineage: Bacteria; Bacillati; Bacillota; Bacilli. The record is from RNAcentral.